Molecule: ribosomal RNA, 427 nt
Filed under: uncultured bacterium
Lineage: Bacteria
Description: bacterial SSU rRNA
Rfam family: Bacterial small subunit ribosomal RNA
Source: RNAcentral
UGGGGAAUUUUGGACAAUGGACGCAAGUCUGAUCCAGCCAUGCCGCGUGCGGGAAGAAGGCCUUCGGGUUGUAAACCGCUUUUGUCAGGGAAGAAACGAGUUUCUCUAAUACAGAGACUUAAUGACGGUACCUGAAGAAUAAGCACCGGCUAGCUACGUGCCAGCAGCCGCGGUAAUACGUAGGGUGCGAGCGUUAAUCGGAAUUACUGGGCGUAAAGCGUGCGCAGGCGGUUAUAUAAGACAGAUGUGAAAUCCCCGGGCUCAACCUGGGAACUGCAUUUGUGACUGCAUAGCUAGAGUACGGUAGAGGGGGAUGGAAUUCCGCGUGUAGCAGUGAAAUGCGUAGAUAUGCGGAGGAACACCGAUGGCGAAGGCAAUCCCCUGGACCUGUACUGACGCUCAUGCACGAAAGCGUGGGGAGCAAACA